GAUGAAGAACGUAGCGAAAUGCGAUAAGUAAUGUGAAUUGCAGAAUUCAGUGAAUCAUCGAAUCUUUGAACGCACAUUGCGCCCGCCAGCACUCUGGCGGGCAUGCCUGUUCGAGCGUCAUUUCAACCAUCAAGCCCCCAGGGGCUUGUGCUGGGGCCCUGCGGCUGCCCGCAGGCCCUGAAAACCAGUGGCGGGCUCGCUAGUCACACCGAGCGCAGUAGCACAUCUCGCUCAGGGUGUGCGGCGGGCUCCUGCCGUGAAACCCCCCACUGUAACCCCAAAGGUUGACCUCGGAUCAGGUAGGAAUACCCGCUGAACUUAAGCAUAUCAAUAAGCGGAGGA
This 342-nucleotide unclassified non-coding RNA is filed under the name soil metagenome. RNAcentral describes it as "partial contains 5.8S ribosomal RNA, internal transcribed spacer 2, and large subunit ribosomal RNA". The stretch from base 1 to 120 matches the Rfam family "5.8S ribosomal RNA", at positions 35 to 154 of the family's 154-position model. The record is from RNAcentral.